RNAcentral lists this unclassified non-coding RNA (343 nucleotides) under soil metagenome. Its description in RNAcentral is "partial contains 5.8S ribosomal RNA, internal transcribed spacer 2, and large subunit ribosomal RNA". The stretch from base 1 to 120 matches the Rfam family "5.8S ribosomal RNA", at positions 35 to 154 of the family's 154-position model. The record is from RNAcentral.
GAUGAAGAACGCAGCGAAAUGCGAUAAGUAAUGUGAAUUGCAGAAUUCAGUGAAUCAUCGAAUCUUUGAACGCACAUUGCGCCCGCCAGCAUUCUGGCGGGCAUGCCUGUUCGAGCGUCAUUUCAACCCUCGAGCCCCCCCGGGGGCCUCGGUGUUGGGGGACGGCACACCAGCCGCCCCCGAAAUGCAGUGGCGACCCCGCCGCAGCCUCCCCUGCGUAGUAGCACACACCUCGCACCGGAGCGCGGAGGCGGUCACGCCGUAAAACGCCCAACUUUCUUAGAGUUGACCUCGGAUCAGGUAGGAAUACCCGCUGAACUUAAGCAUAUCAAUAAGCGGAGAA